GACGAACGCUGGCGGCGUGCCUAAUACAUGCAAGUAGGACGCAGUUGCGAACGGGUGAGUAACGCGUAGGUAACUGUCUCUUAGCGGGGGAUAACUAUUGGAAACGAUAGCUAAUACCGCCUACUAGUAGAUGGACCUGCGUUGUAUUAGCCAGUAGGUAGGGUAAUGGCCUCCCUAGGCUACGAUACAUAGCCGACCUGUGAGGGUGAUGGGCCACGCUGUGUCUGGGAUCAGGGCCAGAAUCCUACCGGAGGCAGCAAUAGGGACUCUGCGGCAAUGGGGGGAACCCUGACCGAGCCACGCCGCGUGAGUAAAGAAGGUUUUCGGAUCGUAAAGCUCUGUUGUUAAGGAAGCGGUACUUAACCAGAAAGGGACGGCUAACUACGUGCCAGCAGCCGCGGUAAUAC
Molecule: ribosomal RNA, 407 nt
Filed under: uncultured bacterium
Lineage: Bacteria
Description: partial 16S ribosomal RNA
Rfam family: Bacterial small subunit ribosomal RNA
Source: RNAcentral